This is a non-coding RNA of Phrynosoma platyrhinos (Desert horned lizard), 72 nucleotides long. The record is from the annotation of a GenBank genome assembly. Lineage: Eukaryota; Metazoa; Chordata; Lepidosauria; Squamata; Phrynosomatidae.
GCCAAUGUGGUGUAGUGUUUUGAGUGUCAGACUAUGACUCUGGAGACCAAGGAUCAAAUCCCUGCUCAGCUG